RNAcentral lists this ribosomal RNA (180 nucleotides) under uncultured Glomeromycotina. RNAcentral describes it as "partial small subunit ribosomal RNA". The stretch from base 40 to 180 matches the Rfam family "Eukaryotic small subunit ribosomal RNA", at positions 686 to 829 of the family's 1831-position model. The record is from RNAcentral. Lineage: Eukaryota; Fungi; Glomeromycota.
GGAUCAGCAGGUUGGUCGUGCCUACGGUAUGAACUGGCCUUGCUGAUUCCUCCCUCUUGAUGAGCCGUAAUGCCAUUAAUUUGGUGUUGCGGGGAAUCAGGACUGUUACUUUGAAAAAAUUAGAGUGUUCAAAGCAGGCUUACGUCUGAAUACAUUAGCAUGGAAUAAUAAAAUAGGACU